CUCAGAACGAACGCUGGCGGCGUGCUUAACACAUGCAAGUCGAACGCGAAAGGGACUUCGGUCCUGAGUAAAGUGGCGCACGGGUGAGUAACGCGUAGAUAACCUGUCUUCAUGUCUGGCAUAAUACGCCGAAAGGGGUACUAAUACCGGAUAUUCUUGCUUUUCAUAAGUUAUGCAAGCAAAGGUGGCCUCUGCAUAUGCUACUGCAUGAAGAGGGGUCUGCGUACCAUUAGCUAGUAGGUGGGGUAAUGGCCUACCUAGGCGACGAUGGUUAGCGGGUCUGAGAGGAUGAUCCGCCACACUGGCACUGGAACACGGGCCAGACUCCUACGGGAGGCAGCAGUGAGGAAUAUUGCGCAAUGGGGGAAACCCUGACGCAGCGACGCCGCGUGAGUGAGGAAGGCCUUCGGGUCGUAAAGCUCUGUCAAGAGGAAAGAAGUGUACAAUGGCUAAUACCUGUUGUAUUUGACGGUACCUCUAAAGGAAGCACCGGCUAACUCCGUGCCAGCAGCCGCGGUAAUACGGAGGGUGCAAGCGUUGUUCGGAAUCACUGGGCGUAAAGGGCGCGUAGGCGGCUUGGUAAGUCAGAUGUGAAAGCCCACGGCUUAACUGUGGAAGUGCAUUUGAAACUGUCAGGCUUGAGUACCAGAGGGGAAAGUGGAAUUCCCGGUGUAGAGGUGAAAUUCGUAGAUAUCGGGAGGAAUACCGGUGGCGAAGGCGACUUUCUGGCUGGAUACUGACGCUGAGGCGCGAAAGCGUGGGGAGCAAACAGGAUUAGAUACCCUGGUAGUCCACGCUGUAAACGAUGU
Molecule: ribosomal RNA, 809 nt
Filed under: Desulfobulbus propionicus
Lineage: Bacteria; Pseudomonadati; Thermodesulfobacteriota; Desulfobulbia; Desulfobulbales; Desulfobulbaceae
Description: bacterial SSU rRNA
Rfam family: Bacterial small subunit ribosomal RNA
Source: RNAcentral